This 281-nucleotide ribosomal RNA is filed under the name uncultured bacterium. RNAcentral's name for it is "partial 16S ribosomal RNA". It matches the Rfam family "Bacterial small subunit ribosomal RNA", at positions 334 to 607 of the family's 1533-position model. The record is from RNAcentral.
UUUGCCUACGGGGGGCAGCAGUAGGGAAUUUUCGUCAAUGGGCGCAAGCCUGAACGAGCAAUGCCGCGUGAACGAGGAAGGUCUUCGGAUCGUAAAGUUCUGUUGAAGGGGAAAAAGAGCGGAGAGAGGAAAUGGUCUCCGAUUGAUAUUACCCUUCGAGGAAGUCACGGCUAACUACGUGCCAGCAGCCGCGGUAAUACGUAGGUGGCGAGCGUUAUCCGGAAUGAUUGGGCGUAAAGGGUGCGUAGGCGGUUGAGUAAGACAGAUGUGAAAUCCCCGAG